UACGAAGGGGGCUAGCGUUGCUCGGAAUCACUGGGCGUAAAGCGCACGUAGGCGGAUUGUUAAGUCAGGGGUGAAAUCCUGGAGCUCAACUCCAGAACUGCCUUUGAUACUGGCGAUCUCGAGUCCGGGAGAGGUGAGUGGAACUGCGAGUGUAGAGGUGAAAUUCGUAGAUAUUCGCAAGAACACCAGUGGCGAAGGCGGCUCACUGGCCCGGUACUGACGCUGAGGUGCGAAAGCGUGGGGAACAAACAGG
RNAcentral lists this ribosomal RNA (253 nucleotides) under uncultured bacterium. RNAcentral describes it as "partial 16S ribosomal RNA". It matches the Rfam family "Bacterial small subunit ribosomal RNA", at positions 524 to 776 of the family's 1533-position model. The record is from RNAcentral.